This 789-nucleotide long non-coding RNA is filed under the name Piliocolobus tephrosceles (Ugandan red Colobus). RNAcentral's name for it is "lncRNA (ENSPTEG00000015505.1)". Lineage: Eukaryota; Metazoa; Chordata; Mammalia; Primates; Cercopithecidae. The record is from RNAcentral.
UAUAUAUAUAUUUUUUUUUUUUUUUUUACAUUAGAAACAUUUUGAAAGACUUGAAAGACAAAAUCGAUAUAUUAAGUUGCAAAUAUAUCUUAAAAAAAUUGAAACAAAAAAAAGUAGAAGAACAGGAACUGAUGUUUAAAUGCUAUAAUGCUAUAAAAAUUCAAAAAACGUAACAUAUAUAAAAAAAAUAAAAAAGUCAACAGAGAAGGGUUGCGUAGUAUGUGUGUGUGUGUAAUGUUGUACAAUAAUUAUAAACAUUAUAGAUCCAUGUUAUACAUACACAUAUAAAUAAGUUUAUGUUAAUUUUUUUUUUUUUUUUUGGUAUUUUUCGUUAUAACUCAAACAGUUUUCGUGGAUACUAUUCAAGGAAAUAUGUCCACGAUUUUUAUAAGAGGAAAAAGGAAAUUAUCGAAUUAGAUAAUUACGUGAAAAUGCAACAAAGCGAGUUUUCAAAAGAAAUAGAGAAAAGAAAAAAGCAGCAAAUGUUGUAUGAUCAAGAGUUAAGGGAGCAAAAAAUUUAUAACGUAGCUAAGAAUUUGCACCACGUGGUAUCAACAAAAGCACAAAAAGGAGUUUAUAAUCCAAAAAUUGAAAAUAUAAUAAAAAAACAGCAAGAAAAGCAUAAAAUUAAAAAAAAAAAAGUAAUCAUGCCUGUAAGUAAAUGAAUGCAAGAAAAAAAAGGAAACGGAAAAAAAAAAAAAAAGACAACGAAAAAAAAAAACAAAAAAAAGUGCGAGAUAAAAUUAAAAAAGCAAAAAAAGAAAUAAAAUUAAAGUUAUCAAUGUUUCA